This 253-nucleotide ribosomal RNA is filed under the name uncultured bacterium. Its description in RNAcentral is "partial 16S ribosomal RNA". It matches the Rfam family "Bacterial small subunit ribosomal RNA", at positions 524 to 776 of the family's 1533-position model. The record is from RNAcentral.
UACGUAGGGUGCAGGCGUUGUCCGGAAUCAUUGGGCGUAAAGCGCGCGUAGGUGGCUUCGUAAGUCCGUUGUGAAAGUCAAAGGCUCAACCUUUGAAUGCCGAUGGAUACUGCGAAGCUAGAGUACGGAAGAGGCGAGUGGAAUUCCUGGUGUAGCGGUGGAAUGCGCAGAUAUCAGGAGGAACACCAAUUGCGAAGGCAGCUCGCUGGGACGUAACUGACGCUGAGACGCGAAAGCGUGGGGAGCAAACAGG